GCGCAACCCUUGUCCUUAUUUGCCAGCGCGUGGUGGCGGGAACUCUCUGGAGACUGCCGGUGAUAAACCGGAGGAAGGUGGGGACGACGUCAAGUCAUCAUGGCCCUUACGGGAUGGGCUACACACGUGCUACAAUGGCAAGUACAGAGGGCAGCAAUACCGCGAGGUGGAGCGAAUCCCACAUAGCUUGUCGUAUUCCGGAUUGGAGUCUGCAACUCGACUCCAUGAAGUCGGAAUCGCUAGUAAUCGUAGAUCAGAAUGCUACGGUGAAUACGUUCCCGGGCCUUGCACACACCGCCCGU
RNAcentral lists this ribosomal RNA (302 nucleotides) under uncultured bacterium. RNAcentral's name for it is "bacterial SSU rRNA". It matches the Rfam family "Bacterial small subunit ribosomal RNA", at positions 1096 to 1397 of the family's 1533-position model. The record is from RNAcentral.